GGGUGUCCGAACCCCCCCCCACCAACGCCCCCCCACCCUCUUCAAGACACCCUCGACCACAGCCCCCCACGAAGCAGGUAAAACGCGAGCACAGGUGUAUUGAGACAGAUUUAAAGAGGUGCCAGAAAGUGAUGGUGAUGACAUCGAUCCAUGAGCUGUCUGAGCUGUCUGGAGCCUCGGAAUAAAUCGUCUGCUACGCCUCCAGAAUUUGCAGCUCCAAACUCAACUCCAAGACCCAAGUCCUCGCCAAUUCACGUGUGUGUGUCACAUGUUGUUCAACUAACAUUGUGAUACCAACAUUGAGCCAAAUAACAAUUGUCAGAUCUUGGCAGAUUUCGAAAGCUAAGCAGAUUUGAGCCUGGAUAAUGCUUAGAUGGGCGACCACAUGCACAAAAAGGCUGCCAUAAGUGGCUGCGUGGUUGUGCUACAUGGUGGUCAGCAAAGAGCAGUGUAGCAAACAACAUGAUUGUACUGUGCUGCUGUUAUCCCACGUUUAUGUUCGGCGCCUUUAGCACGCAGCACUGACCAGUGUGGUGAAGUAUGGUCAAGGCGUAGCCCUCAUGACCCGCACAGUGAAUUAAGCAAGGGGCCUCUCAUGCACAUGGGCUGUGCUGCACUGAAGUCCGUUAAUACAUAGUAAAUGUGAAACUAGUGGGCAGUUUGUCCUAUUGAAUCCCACUGCCAUAUGUUUAAAGGGCCACAGUUUUUUCAAAUUUAUCCGCAGGUCGUUCUGAAUCCGGCUGGACUUCCCAAACAUGGCAAUAGAGGGCGCUGACGAGCUAUUGUUGGUGAAUCCAUUGACACUGGCUUAAUUAUUAACAGACGUUGCAGUUUUUAUGUAUAAA
This is a long non-coding RNA of Petromyzon marinus (sea lamprey), 845 nucleotides long. RefSeq lists it as uncharacterized. The record is from RefSeq and is a predicted model, not a curated record. NCBI's taxonomy places the organism in Eukaryota, Metazoa, Chordata, Hyperoartia, Petromyzontiformes, Petromyzontidae.